Long non-coding RNA from Pieris napi, 330 nucleotides. RefSeq lists it as uncharacterized. NCBI's taxonomy places the organism in Eukaryota, Metazoa, Arthropoda, Insecta, Lepidoptera, Pieridae. The record is from RefSeq and is a predicted model, not a curated record. The transcript is spliced from 2 exons.
CACUUUGAUGGAAUCAUUAUUCAAUUUUACCGGUCUUUUUAUGAGAUCACCUGAAAAAAUGCAUUAGACAUUUUAACACAAAAUGAGAAAGUGUGUGCUCGAAAGACGAAGUUUGCUGUCCGCAACUAUCAAUAAUUCAACAUACGGACCCGAAGCAGCCCGACGAUUCCAGUUAUAGUAAUGAGGACGAUGCUGAUAUAAUUUAGUGUCCCAACAUCAAAAGAAUUGUACGAAAUUUUUGUACAAUUAUUUUUAUUGUUUUUAAAUGAUUCUAGAUUAUACUUGUUUACACUGCAAAAAAACAUAAGUAAUAUAAACUGUUUCUAAACA